This is a non-coding RNA of Camelina sativa (false flax), 221 nucleotides long. NCBI's taxonomy places the organism in Eukaryota, Viridiplantae, Streptophyta, Magnoliopsida, Brassicales, Brassicaceae. The record is from RefSeq and is a predicted model, not a curated record.
CAGCGACUUUCUUGAUUAUGGUGGAGUCAAACAUGCAGGAAGGUCUUGAAGGCAAUCCAGUAGCUGGAACUAUGAAGAAAUUCUCAAGAAUUAUUGCCUUCCUUUCUAUUCCAGUUUUGAUAGGCAUUGAAAAGGCAUUGUUUUGUUACUGGCUUACCUCCAAUCUGUUUACUCUUGUGUAUGGAUUAAGUAAGUCCCCCGAACAUUGUUCUUACUCUUUG